AGGGAUCUCAAGAAUCCAUGAUAGGGCCAAGAUGGAGUGUCCUAUCUAUACCACCCAUCACACAGAACAUUGAAAUGCAUCUAUAUUAGUGGUGAGAAGAGAGGCGGCCUGGGGGUGACCUUGAAAUAAAAAAGAAGCAUAUGGAAAUAAGCCUAGGGCUCUCAAAUUCUGGAUCUAAAAAGCAACAAAGAGAAUCUCAGUGGUUGAUGUGUCGGAAAUAGAAAGUGAAUGAGUUUGAGAUUUUAUAUAUAUAUAUGCAAAUAAUAACAAAUUGUCAGUUUUCUCUGACAAAAGUUUUAAUUCUGCUUCAUGGCUUUAAACAUAUGCAGUAUAUCUAGCUUCGACUUAGAAUAUAGAAAGCUGGAAGGAAUAUUGUUUCCACCCUUACAAUAAACACAACAAAAACAUGCUGGAUUGUCUAUUAAAUUACAACUUUCUUCAACCUACUAGAUUGCUGAGGACAAGAAAACAAACUGAAGAAAAAGAACCUCCAGGGAGACAAGGAGGCAAGCAUUUGUGGGAGAAGAUACAGCUGAUGACAAGAAGUUUGCUAAAUUUCGAGUAAAUAAUUGAGGCCAAGGGUGGGCAAGUGUGAGAGUAUAGAAACCCUCAGCACCCUUUUCUCAUGGACCUCUUGAGAAAUAUGGGAACACAGCGAGACGCAGAAGCAAACUUCCUUUGUGGUGAAAGUGUAAGGGAGAGAACAGUGGUGCCCACAGGCAAAGCUUCACUAAAGUCCUUCACUCCUAUCGCUCCUAUGGUACAAAACAAAAAGCUGGUCCAGGAAGGCUUGCAAAGCUGUUCUUCCCAUGGAAAAUCUAUGGCAGUUGUGGUAAGGGAAGACUGAGGGAGGGAGUCAGAGAGAGGAAGAAAAUAAGGAAGAAGUCUACUUUUGGAGAAAGACAAGAAGCAUCCAGAUUGUUAGACAUUCUUCUGGCCAGACCUACUGAGAAAAGGGUACUGCACCUACUUAAGACUGUGGUGAACCAAACAUUUCUUGGAAGAAAACAGCUUUUUCCCAUCUCUAGUACUUUUCAUUUCAACAAGAAUUUCAUAGAAAAGCAUCCUUUUGAAAGUAUGUUCCUGGCGCAACUGGCAAUAUAUCAUCUCUAUAUUCAAUAUAUAAUUCAAGAUAAAAUCAAAUAUAGGUCAGGAUGAUUAUUUUUGAAAUGUAUACCAAUCAAUGUAUUGGAAUAAAGACAUAACUUCUACCUUUGAUAACCUGGAAAUAUUUUUUGAGACACAUAGUUUUGGAUGUCAAAGGAAGAGAAAAAAUGUUAGAGGCAGCUAUGAGGAUGCGACAAGGAAUCCAGGCCAAGUUUUCAGGCAGGAAUAUGAAAGGGGUGAUUAACGAAUCAUGAGCAGACCGACUUGACUAACCCAUAAAGGUGAUGGCUACUUAACAGGCCUGGAAGCAGAUGAGGUGUAGUCUCAAACCAGCUUAAGUAUUGGGGGGCGAUGGGGACAAUAUUGAGCACAUACUUAUUAAAUAAUAGGAAAGUGUCAGUUAUGCCUUUGGUGGCCAGGGCAAAAAGAGAUUGGCAACAGGGGGAUUUUCAUGAAGCUCUUCUACAAAUGCUAUCUGUGGGUUUGUUCAAAGCUUGAGCUCAAACAAGGUCAUAGAUGUAGAAAGGAGCGCACCUGUGUAAGGGGGAUCUACUGGAGCAUUCAUGCCCCAACCUAACAGUGUGCAAAACACAUUGUGCACUCUCCACAAGAACAGUGACAUGUUUGAAGAAUACUCAUUCAUUUUUUAAAUAUAUUGAUUAUCCUUCAGAGUCACAGUUAGGAAAAUGUAUGCAGUCUUAAUCUUGAGAUCUAAAGACCAGAAGAGUAAAUGCAAAUUUUACUAACGCAAUAUAUUUUGCCAUAAAAUUUACCAUAAAAUGAUCAUUCCACACUCUUCAUCUCAUGUGGAUCAUAUAAGCCAACAUGUUUUUAUCAAAACUCCCAUUAUUAUAUUAUUAUUGACAUUAUUAGCACAAAAAACAGGAUUUGAAAUGGAAAAUAAUAGCACCAAAUGUAUGUAUUCAAAUAAUAUCAUUUACACAGGUAUAGCCAACAGAGGAUGAGAUUAAAGAUCCAUGACAAAAUAAAGUGAAGAAAACAGAAUUAAGAAAUCCUGAUGUACAUAAAGUUAGUGUCUUCUCAAGUUUCUAAGAGAGUUCACUCUGAAAAGCCUGCAAAUGCAAAGGAGCAUUGUAAAGAUUGCAGUGAUGUGGGAUCUCUCAAAGAUACCCAGCUGUAUUAGGGUUCUCCUGCGAAAAUGGAAGAUGCAUACAUAUAAAAUGAGAUUUGGCUCACCUAAUUAUGGAGGCCCAGAAGUCCCACAGCCUGCUUUUUGCAAUCUUGGGAGAAGCAGCAAAACAGAAGGGUAAUUCAGUUUUAGUCUAAAGACCUGAGAAUGGGGGUAAGGUUUAUUUGUGUAAGUCAUAGAGUCCAAAAGCCAGAGAACAAGGAACAGCGAUAUCAGAGGGCAGGAGAAGAUGGAUGUCUCAGCUCAAAAAGAGAGCGCAAACUUGCCCCUCCUUUACAUGUUUGUUCUAUUCUGGCUCAUAAUAGAUUAGUUAAUGUUUGCCAUCAUUGGUGAAGGCAAUCUUCUUCACUCAGUCUUCAAAUACAAAUGCUAAUACCUCCCAGAAAUGCCCUCACAGAUACAUCCAGAGGUAAUAUUUUACCUGCUCUCUGGAUAUCCCUUAGCCCAGUCAAGUGGACACAUACAAUUAGCCAUCAAUGCCAUCUAUGGAACCAAAAUAGAAAUCAGUACGGAAAGAUCAGUGUGAGGCCAUCAGCUGCAAUAAGAAGGGGUAAAAGUCAUAUGCCAAAUGUCCCGGCCCCCAAACUAUGACCAAUGACGCCCUUCUCUCGAGUUGAUCAUCUACAAUAUUAGACAAUGUGGUCAUGAAUAAUAAUUUACUUGUAACAUUUUUAAAUGAAGCUAAUAUGAGAAAAUGGCCAUAAGGAUGUGAUGCACUGUUAACUCUGACAGAAUUAUAAGUUAUUUUACACCUCAAACUAGUAGCUUCUUUGUCUGUUAAUAACAUUUUACCUACUGGACACUGACAUCAUCCAGGAAUUCUUAAUUCACAUUCCAAAUCUUUUAGUAGUGACUUUCAAGUAGCAGGGUUUGUCAUGG
RNAcentral lists this long non-coding RNA (3136 nucleotides) under Homo sapiens (human). RNAcentral describes it as "HSALNT0122944". The record is from RNAcentral. Lineage: Eukaryota; Metazoa; Chordata; Mammalia; Primates; Hominidae.